Branchiostoma floridae (Florida lancelet) is the source of this 785-nucleotide long non-coding RNA. RefSeq lists it as uncharacterized. The record is from RefSeq and is a predicted model, not a curated record. NCBI's taxonomy places the organism in Eukaryota, Metazoa, Chordata, Leptocardii, Amphioxiformes, Branchiostomatidae. The transcript is spliced from 3 exons.
CGGGUGCACGGAGUCUAGCUUUCCAGGUUUCUCAUUGGUCAGGAGUCUAGCUUUUAGUCUAGCUUUUUGACCUUCCUAUUGGUCAGCAGUCCAGCUUUCGUCACAGGCCGACCAAUCAGUGCCCUUGACGCAAAGAUUGAAUUCUUAGCCGGUCUGCGAGCUGAGUGUCCGCCAUUGUUGGGGUCUCGCUAAAGCGAGCAUCUUUUGGGAGUUUUUGCCUACCCAAGAAGAAGACGCGACCGGCCAUCGGUCAAGUUUUAGUCGGAAGGAGUUUUGCUUGCUAGGAUUUGAGCUCAACAAAAGGACAGGGGACAACCGACGGGGGAGGGGGGCAUCAUGGCGGAUCCCCUCAUGCCAGCCUUGUGUAUCAAGGAUGUCAGUGUGCAGACACACAGACAGCAAAGUCAGCUGGCUCCAACAGAAGAGGCAAAGGCAGCCAAGAAGGUUCCCAGGUCCUACCCGUCGCCGUCGGUGCCGCAGGAAUUUAUGGAGGAAAAAACAGCCCUUCAAGAAGCCAAGGGACGCUGUCGCCAGUAUUCUGCACAGCAAGUGCAGUACCACGGCCAGGUAGUGUUGACUUUUGGCAAGUACUCAAACCCGCUCCCCCCUUCUUCUGGGAAGAGGAAGAAGCCAGCUUGUUGGUUGACAAACUGUAGGUUGCCCCUAUUGAGUCACUUUCCUCUGGAUUGUGCAAUCUGUAAGUAGCAUCAACUUUGUUGUGUGUAGUCCAUAUUGGACAUUUACCAUAAAACAUGUAAAUAUUGUAUAUACACUGUACAUAUUGU